AGAAAGAGGGAGCGGGAGAGAGGAACAGAGGAAGCGAGGGGGGGUGGGAAAAAAAGGAAAAGAAGAUUUUUCUCUAUGUAUAUAAAGAUGGCCACGUUAGCAAACGGACAAGCAGACAAUCCCAGCCUCAGUAGCAACCACACUAACCCCAACACCAACGGGCACAUGAACGGAUUAAAUCACAGUCCAGGGAACACAUCCACCAUUCCCAUGAAGGACCACGAUGCCAUCAAGCUCUUUAUUGGGCAAAUCCCUCGCAACCUGGACGAGAAGGACCUCAAACCUCUCUUUGAAGAGUUCGGAAAGAUCUAUGAACUGACGGUGCUGAAGGACAGGUUUACUGGCAUGCACAAAGGCUGUGCCUUCCUAACAUACUGUGAAAGGGAGUCUGCUCUGAAAGCCCAGAGUGCACUGCACGAACAGAAGACACUGCCAGGGAUGAACAGACCGAUCCAGGUGAAACCAGCGGACAGCGAGAGCCGAGGAGAAGACAGAAAACUCUUUGUGGGUAUGCUCAACAAACAGCAAUCAGAAGACGACGUGCGCCGGCUAUUCGAGGCAUUUGGCAAUAUCGAGGAAUGCACGAUCCUUCGGGGACCAGAUGGCAACAGCAAAGGCUGCGCGUUUGUGAAAUAUUCCUCACAUGCGGAAGCGCAGGCGGCCAUCAAUGCCUUGCACGGAAGCCAGACAAUGCCGGGGGCCUCGUCGAGCCUGGUGGUCAAGUUUGCGGACACAGACAAGGAGCGCACGAUGAGGCGCAUGCAGCAAAUGGCCGGGCAGAUGGGCAUGUUCAACCCCAUGGCGAUACAGUUUGGAGCCUACGGCGCCUACGCCCAGGCACUGAUGCAGCAGCAGGCCGCCAUUAUGGCAUCCGUGGCGCAAGGCGGCUACCUAAACCCCAUGGCGGCCUUUGCAGCAGCUCAGAUGCAGCAGAUGGCAGCGCUAAACAUGAACGGCCUGGCCGCCGCACCCAUGACGCCCACCUCAGGUGGCAGCACACCUCCAGGCAUCACCGCAGCAGCCGUGCCUAGCAUCCCAUCUCCCAUUGGGGUGAACGGUUUCACUGGCCUACCGCCACAGGCUAACGGGCAGCCUGCCGCAGAAGCCGUGUUUGCCAAUGGCAUCCACCCUUACCCAGCACAGAGUCCCACCGCAGCCGACCCUUUGCAGCAAGCCUACGCCGGAGUGCAGCAAUAUGCAGGUCCCGCAUACCCUGCUGCAUAUGGCCAGAUAAGCCAAGCCUUCCCACAGCCGCCUCCCAUGAUCCCGCAGCAACAGAGAGAAGGACCAGAGGGCUGUAACCUGUUUAUCUACCAUCUGCCCCAGGAGUUUGGGGACGCAGAGCUGAUGCAGAUGUUCCUGCCAUUCGGUAAUGUCAUCUCCUCGAAAGUGUUUGUGGAUCGGGCGACAAACCAAAGUAAAUGCUUUGGCUUUGUGAGUUUUGACAAUCCUGCUAGUGCCCAGGCUGCCAUCCAGGCUAUGAACGGCUUCCAGAUUGGCAUGAAGAGGCUGAAGGUGCAGCUGAAGAGGCCAAAGGAUGCUAACCGCCCCUACUGAAGCAUUGUGGGAAACUCUGGAUAAGCAAGGUCUAGCACAGAGCCAGUCAAAUCCACCACAGUCUCGCGCUGAGCUAGGAAAAAAGUUCACGUAAUGACAGGAAAGUGGAGAAUACAGUCCCCCAGUCCGGCGUCAGCUGAAUGGGCCACAUUUAGAGAAAUAUAUAUAUAUAUAUUAAAUAAAUAUAUAUAGGAACGAGAACUGUUGGAUUACACCUUUAACAUAUCAGCAAAUAUCAGUCAAGCUGAAGACUUCAGAUUUACUCUCUUUCUGAUUGUUUAGACUGUACCAUUUCUUUAAGAAAAGUCACGUCAGCUGGGUUCGAAAGGACAUGAGCUUGAAACAGAAACAUAAAUAUCAACAACAACAACAACAAAAAC
This is an RNA transcript of Lacerta agilis (Sand lizard), 1937 nucleotides long. It is a transcript of the gene named CUGBP Elav-like family member 4, with no coding region annotated. The transcript is spliced from 14 exons. NCBI's taxonomy places the organism in Eukaryota, Metazoa, Chordata, Lepidosauria, Squamata, Lacertidae. The record is from RefSeq and is a predicted model, not a curated record.